This 463-nucleotide ribosomal RNA is filed under the name uncultured bacterium. RNAcentral's name for it is "bacterial SSU rRNA". It matches the Rfam family "Bacterial small subunit ribosomal RNA", at positions 29 to 506 of the family's 1533-position model. The record is from RNAcentral.
AUGAACGCUGGCGGCAUGGAUUAGGCAUGCAAGUCGAACGGUGAUGGCCCCGCAAGGGGCCUGAUCAGUGGCGAAAGGGUGAGCAACACGUGAGGAACCUGCCCUUGAGUCCGGAAUAGCCCCGGGAAACCGGGAUUAAUGCCGGAUGUGGUUGGAGGCCGAAUGGUCUCCGGACUGAAGGCGCAAGCCGCUCAGGGAUGGCCUCGCGUCCGAUCAGCUGGUUGGUGAGGUAACGGCCCACCAAGGCUGAGACCGGUAGGUGGUCUGAGAGGAUGGUCACCCACACUGGGACUGAGACACUGCCCAGACUCCUACGGGAGGCUGCAGUCGAGAAUCUUCCGCAAUGGGCGAAAGCCUGACGGAGCGAUGCCGCGUGAGGGAUGAAGGCCUUCGGGUUGUAAACCUCUGUCGCCCGGGACGAAACCAUGACGGUACCGGGAGAGGAAGCUACGGCUAACUACGU